UAAGUCGGGGGUGAAAUCCCGGGGCUCAACCCCGGAACUGCCCUCGAUACUGGGAGUCUAGAGUUCGAGAGUGGUGAGUGGAAUUGCGAGUGUAGAGGUGAAAUUCGUAGAUAUUCGGAGGAACACCAGUGGCGAAGGCGGCUCACUGGCUCGAUACUGACGCUGAGGUGCGAAAGUGUGGGGAGCAGACAGGAUUAGAUACCCUGCUAGUCCACACCGUAAACGAUGAAUGCCAGUCGUCGGGUAGCAUGCUAUUCGGUGACACACCUUACGGAUUAAGCAUUCCGCCUGGGGAGUACGCUCGCAGAUUUAAACUCAAAUGAAUUCACGG
This 331-nucleotide ribosomal RNA is filed under the name uncultured marine bacterium. RNAcentral describes it as "bacterial SSU rRNA". It matches the Rfam family "Bacterial small subunit ribosomal RNA", at positions 584 to 916 of the family's 1533-position model. The record is from RNAcentral.